Molecule: long non-coding RNA, 1579 nt
Organism: Bombus terrestris (buff-tailed bumblebee)
Lineage: Eukaryota; Metazoa; Arthropoda; Insecta; Hymenoptera; Apidae
Exons: 3
Source: RefSeq, a predicted model, not a curated record
GACGAUUAUUUACAAUUCCAGCCACCUACUCGGUCCGGGCGGUGCGGUGGUUGAAUUUUUGUCGACCGACAGGCGGCGCUGGUUCAGUUCGCUAUGGCCUCGGUGGCUUUUAUCGGUGAGGGCCUCUCGCGUUCGCUCGUAAAAUACCUCGAAGGGCGAGCGCGUAGUGUUAAAGAGGCGCUCGAAGGACCGUUUACCUAAUAAUAGCAAUAAUAUGUAAAUGCGAUGCGUAUCAAGUCGCCAUCUAAAGAAUCCACUCCGCUACGGGCCUAUUGUUUGCAAAUCUUCGUUUCAGCCGUGCUGCUCUCUGCUGGAUUGCUGCAGAGCUCUCGAUACACCUAUCUCCAUCUCUUUUUGCACCAUCGUUUUACCUGCGAUCUGUCCUUCUCCCGAUACCGGACGCGCAAAUAAUCGAAGUAUUCUGCUGUUUGCAUUCGAAGAAUCGAGGAGUCCAGGACGAUGGAAAACGAGCAUAUGCCACGAUAUCAUAAAUUUACAGGAAGCUUCGCAACAAAUUAUUUCUUGAAAAUGUUUGAUACUAAACUCAUUUGUACUUUGUUUUGAACGGCUCGAAUCAGUUUGAAAUAUUAAUAUCGCUACGUAAAUAUUUUGGAGUAAUGGCGUGCGAUUUAGGUUAGUCAAGAUACACGAAUUGAAUUCAAAUAACUUGAAACUUUCCAUAGUGCCAACUAUAACAACGACAUUAGAAAAGUAAAAAGAACUACUACUUGUAAAGAGAGUACUAGAGUACUAUCGCAUAUUCAAUUUUCGAGGUGGUCAUAUAACUCUAUCGAGAAUGUAACACAUGCUUGUAUUUAUGGAUGCAAAGUUCGGUUCAGCGUAAACCGCUUUAAGAGGUUACAUCGACGCGGUACAAUUAUAAUUUGAUUCAAUCUUGUCAUGCUCGAGAUUUUUCAAGCUUCGAACGUCAUUAUAUAUUCACGUCGUUACAUUCGGGACCGAUGUAACACUGUAAUACAACGUGGAACUUUUCGAAGUACGCCCUGAAUGGAUUAAUGAACCGAGUGACAUGGGAUCUGAUUGGGGCAACACUUAAGGAAUCCGUCCAGUCAUCUUUACCUUCGUUUGUCGCCCUGAACGAGCAUAACGCGCUAUCCUGACCUUUCUCCUCCUUUUUUUAUUCUUCCUUAUGUCAUUUCUCUUUCUCCUUCUUCGGUUACUUUUUCAUAUUGUUGCUCUAAAUCGCUUUUCCACCACAUCGAGAGACUCACUUUUCGUUUCGUGACUCACAUUGCUGACUAUAAGCAUUAGGAUAUCUUAUCCAUCCUACUAUACUGUAAUAAAAUAAUCAGAAAAUAAAAUCAAUGGGAAAUGUUUAAUUUGUACGAAAUAUCAAAAGAUGUCUUAAAUGUUUUGAUGUAUUGAUAUAUAUAUUUAUGGUUGGCGUUAUCUAUAACUUGCCACUGCAAUUGCCAAAAUUUUGGAUUCCUCUAUUUUCUAUCGCACUAUUGCGUUACUGUUAUCGAAGAUUGUAUUAUAAGCGACGUCUAAUUAACAAGUAACUACCAUCAACUGUGGUUUGUAAUAAUUACAACACAUCUAAUGAAUAAAAUUAUAA